UAUGAUGAAUGUGUAUCAAUUGAUGAUUCUGCCCCCUAAUACACGGCUAAACAGCCCUUUAAAUACAAAAUACAAUGGAGACAAAUCCCACUCUUGUAGGAUUUAUAUUUAACUUAGGAUUCUAAUAUUAUCCUAACUAGUAGGAUUUAUAUUUAACUUAGGAUUCUAACAUUAUCUCUAAUGUUAUCUUCAAUACCCCCC
RNAcentral lists this long non-coding RNA (201 nucleotides) under Nicotiana benthamiana. Its description in RNAcentral is "long non-coding RNA (NBEN_LNC041576)". Lineage: Eukaryota; Viridiplantae; Streptophyta; Magnoliopsida; Solanales; Solanaceae. The record is from RNAcentral.